RNAcentral lists this ribosomal RNA (1497 nucleotides) under Priolepis hipoliti (rusty goby). RNAcentral's name for it is "partial 16S ribosomal RNA". It matches the Rfam family "Bacterial large subunit ribosomal RNA", at positions 110 to 2574 of the family's 2925-position model. The record is from RNAcentral. Lineage: Eukaryota; Metazoa; Chordata; Actinopteri; Gobiiformes; Gobiidae.
AUACCCCAACAGCUAGCCCACCUUCUAAAUUUGAACCAGUCUUAUUAAUUAACCCAAAAAUGAUUAACUAGACCUAAACAAACCAUUUCUCCCCCUAAGUAUGUGAGACAGAAAGGGGCAACUUUUGGAGCGAUAGAGAAAGUACCGCAAGGGAAAGCUGAAAGAGAAGUGAAAAAACUUAGUGAAGGCCUAAGAAGCAGAGACACCCCCUCGUACCUUUUGCAUCAUGAUUUAGCCAGUACCCCUCAAGCAAAGAGCCCUAUACGUUUGAUUCCCCGAAACUGGACGAGCUACUCCAAGACAGCCUAUUACAGGGCAAACCCGUCUCUGUUGCAAAAGGGUGGGGAGAUCUUUGAGUAGAGGUGAUAAACCUACCGAGCCCAGUUAUAGCUGGUUGCCUGGGAAAUGAAUAAGAGUUCAACCUUUUUUCUUCUUUCAGCAAAACCUGGAAGCCUUCACUUCCUCUUUAAGCCUAAAAGAAGCUAAAAGAGCUAUUCAAGAGAGGGACAGCUCUCUUGAAAAAAGAGACAACUUUACUAGAAGGUUAAAGACUAUAAAACAUAAAAGGACCUAAACCUAAGUGGGCUUAAAAGCAGCCACCUUCAUAAAUAGCGUUAAAGCUUAAAUUCCUCCCACUCCUAUAAUUAUAACAAAAAUUUCUUAAACCUCUUUUUUUACCAGACCAUUUCAUGCAAACAUGAAAGAGACCCUGCUAAUAUGAGUAAUAAGAGGUCGCUUAGCCCCUCUCCCCGCACCCUUGUAAAUCAGAACGAACCCACACUGAAAACUAACGCCCCCAACCAAAUGAGGGUAUUAAGAAAAUACAUCCAGAACUAGAAAAACCCAACUAAAAAAGCGUUAAACCAACACAGGAGUGCCCCCGGAAAGACUAAAAGAAAAAGAAGGAACUCGGCAAACACUGGCCUCGCCUGUUUACCAAAAACAUCGCCUCUUGCCCCUAUAGCAUAAGAGGUCCCGCCUGCCCACUGACAUUAAGGUUCAACGGCCGCGGUAUUUUGACCGUGCAAAGGUAGCGUAAUCAUUUGUCUUUUAAAUAGAGACCUGUAUGAAUGGCACCACGAGGGCCAAACUGUCUCCUUUUUCCAGUCAAUGAAAUUGAUCUGCCCGUGCAGAAGCGGGCAUAUAAACAUAAGACGAGAAGACCCUAUGGAGCUUCAGAUAUAAGAUAGCCCAUGUUAAAUUCCCUACAUAAUAAGGUUAAAACUUAAUGGCCUCCUAUCCUUCUUAUCUUCGGUUGGGGCGACCAUGGGGAAAAAAGAACUCCCCACGAGGAAUGGACCUUAUAUUCCCAAUGCCAGAGCAACAGCUCUAACAACCAGAACAUCUGACCUUCAAGAUCCGGCAUUACCGAUCAACGGACCCAGUUACCCUAGGGAUAACAGCGCAAUCCUCUUCUAGAGUCCUUAUCGACAAGAGGGUUUACGACCUCGAUGUUGGAUCAGGGCCUCCUAAUGGUGUAACCGCUAUUAAGGGUUC